UACGGGGGGAGCAAGCGUUGUUCGGAUUUACUGGGCGUAAAGGGCGCGUAGGCGGUCAGCACAAGUCAGUUGUGAAAUCUCCGAGCUUAACUCGGAACGGUCAGCUGAUACUGAUCUGCUAGAGUGCGGAAGGGGCAAUCGGAAUUCUUGGUGUAGCGGUGAAAUGCGUAGAUAUCAAGAGGAACACCUGAGGUGAAGACGGGUUGCUGGGCCGACACUGACGCUGAGUGCGCGAAAGCCAGGGGAGCAAACGGG
RNAcentral lists this ribosomal RNA (255 nucleotides) under uncultured bacterium. RNAcentral's name for it is "partial 16S ribosomal RNA". It matches the Rfam family "Bacterial small subunit ribosomal RNA", at positions 524 to 776 of the family's 1533-position model. The record is from RNAcentral.